Passer domesticus (house sparrow) is the source of this 1402-nucleotide long non-coding RNA. RefSeq lists it as uncharacterized. NCBI's taxonomy places the organism in Eukaryota, Metazoa, Chordata, Aves, Passeriformes, Passeridae. The record is from RefSeq and is a predicted model, not a curated record. The transcript is spliced from 2 exons.
UCAUCACCUGGAAACACAAUGAAUCCUUCAACAUGUUAAAGUGUGUCUGUGAAAGGAUAUAAAUUGAAUGAAUAUGCCCUUGUCCUAGGGUGGUUGAUGAUCUAGGUAACUAUUCUGGUCUCUGCUUUUCUAUAAUGUUUGUUGUCUUUUUGUUAGAUUAAAGCUACUAAGGUGUAGAAAGUCUGCAGCUUCCAUGGACACACGUUGAGCAACUCCAUUUUGGCAAACCAGUAUGACCAUUUGCCAAAGCACAGGCACAAGAAUGGCAGAAGUGUGCCUUGCUCUGGGACUUGCACCCACAGGUGGCCAGGUCUUGGUGGAGUGACACAAUAUGUAUUUGUGCAGUGACAUUUUGCAAAGACCUGAUGGCAUGUGUUUCUAUUGAGAAGGCAGAGCAACUUUGUCUUUGUCACCUCAAUGAUGCGUUGUUCCUGGGCCUGUUUCUCCUACCUCAGUCAUGUAUGGACACUUCUGGAGCAGGCAUGGAAGAUGUGGAGUGAGAAGGUACCACUGUUCCCGUGCACUGCUCUUCACAACAUGCGAAUGCCUGCUUGGACCUGUGCUAAUGGGUGCCAUGGAAACAGGAUUUGUUCCUCACCACAGUCUGGGCUUACGACCACAUAACUUGUUUCAGACAAGUGUGAACUCAAGCAUAAGGUUGGACUCAUGCUUAAAAUCAAUCCUGAAGUAGCCAUAAUAACCACUUCACUAGUUAUGGAGGGCUGAGCUUGCAAGAGCUAUUUUGUGCCCUGAAAAUGUGAAUGCUGUUUACAGUACAUUUUCUUAGUUGGUAGGAUUUAUAAGUACACAUCCUGAUGUAGCCUUUUCCAAGUCUCUACACUGAAAGAUAAUAAUUAAUUUUGCAGGAGACAAAAGUCCACAAUGAAUGAAGUAUCAGGGCUUAAAAAAACCUCUAAAUCUAACAGUCUGCCAAAACCCCACACACUAAUUAUAAAGCUUAUAUAAUUCUUUAUGGUACACAUUAAUCUAAAUUGAAAACAUGGGCCACAAAUUUGAGCUCACCACAAGUCACUAACCUGUUACCUUUUUGUUUUCAUUAUCAUCUGCUGUUUUUCUAUGCACGCAAAAUAAUUCUCAUCUAAAUGUCCAAGUAUUUCAUAAGUACUUAGAUGAGUAACACUCUUGUUCCAAGGAAAACACGGUCUAAUAUGGAACAAAGCACAAGUAAUUAAGAGGAGCAAAAAGGAGAUUCGAUAACAUAAAUGGGAUCCUGCUGCUUUCCUAUGAUAUUUUUGCUUCAUUCUGGAGUUGUCUGAUACUAAGUGAUAAAUAAAAUCUGUUAUUUCCAACUGCUGCACAAACAUGCCAAUUGCAGUUUUCUGGGCUUUACUGUUGGACUUGUCUUUGUAAUAAUCAUUAAAGAGGUCAGUUUUCAAGCAAA